UGACAAGAAGGAGAGGUUAAACCCGCGUCUGAUGAGGGGAGGGAAGACGCCCUCUUUUGAGAGUUCCUGAGCGUAGAACAGAUGAAGGAUACGUUCAAGGGCUGAACCGUAAGAAAACCCAGGAGCUCCGGAGCUAAAAGCCUGCAAACGUUGCCGUAGAUGAUUAGGUCCCUACGAAAGUCACGCUGCCACAUAGGACCUUGACAGGAGAAAACGGCUGUUUCCCUUUCAGAAACAAAUGUGUCCAGAAAUGUAUUUAUAUUGUGCCACCAAAUGUCACCACUAGUGCAGGGGCUCCCAAACUGUGAUCUCUAGAGGUCUGCAAACUUCAUUCAGGUGGUCCACAGCAUGC
Rhineura floridana is the source of this 352-nucleotide long non-coding RNA. RefSeq lists it as uncharacterized. NCBI's taxonomy places the organism in Eukaryota, Metazoa, Chordata, Lepidosauria, Squamata, Rhineuridae. The transcript has 3 exons. The record is from RefSeq and is a predicted model, not a curated record.